Molecule: ribosomal RNA, 497 nt
Filed under: uncultured bacterium
Lineage: Bacteria
Description: partial 16S ribosomal RNA
Rfam family: Bacterial small subunit ribosomal RNA
Source: RNAcentral
GAUGAACGCUGGCGGCGUGCCUAAUACAUGCAAGUCGAGCGAACAGACGAGGAGCUUGCUCCUCUGAUGUUAGCGGCGGACGGGUGAGUAACACGUGGAUAACCUACCUAUAAGACUGGGAUAACUUCGGGAAACCGGAGCUACUACCGGAUAACAUGUUGAACCGCUUGGUUCAACGGUGAAUGACGGCUUUCCUGUAACUAUUAGCUGAUUCCGGGCCGCAUUAGCUAGUUGGUAAGGUAACGGCUUACCAAGGCAACGAUGCGUAGCCGACCUGAGAGGGUGAUCGGCCACACUGGAACUGAGACACGGUCCAGACUCCUACGGGAGGCAGCAGUAGGGAAUCUUCCGCAAUGGGCGAAAGCCUGACGGAGCAACGCCGCGUGAGUGAAGAAGGUCUUCGGAUCGUAAAACUCUGUUAUUAGGGAAGAACAAAUGUGUAAGUAACUAUGCACGUCUUGACGGUACCUAAUCAGAAAGCCACGGCUAACUACGUG